AACGGUCAGCCUACAAAUUCGCCUCCCACAACGUCUCAUUGCCGUACCGUAACCAUAAUCACAAAUUAAGUUCGCGCGGCUUAAUGCCGAAGACUAAUGUCGAGACUGUGUUUGACAAUCGCAUUCUUUUACUCGAGAAUUAUUCCGAUAAACAUUGUGUUUGUUCAUCUUAGCGGAAUGCAACGAAUUCGACGCGAAUAUCUUUGGCACGCUGACGUUCGUGCUCUUCGAGGACAUUCCUGAUCUACAUUUCACGACGAUUUCGGCGCAGUUCUAGGAAGAUCUGCUCCAGUUCUGCCGUUACCCCAUUCCCUUAUGGUUCGCCCAUAACGUGACGUCACGAGCUAUCCGCGGAACUCGCGGUGUUGCCCGUUAAUAUCUAAAAUUAAUGUAAACAUUCGAAACGGCGAACGAACGACGAUAGCGCGUGCCGCAGAAGAACUGUAACGUAGAAGCGCUAAUUUUAACGAUGUUCAAGGACAUGGUGGCCGAAGAGCUGCGGCGAUUCCGCUUCUCUCUUUCUCUCUCUCUCUCUCUCCAUCUUUCAUUCUCAUUCUCUUUCUCUCUUCUUCUUGAAAAGCCACCGCUUCUGUCUACGCGCGACCUCAUAGGCAGUGACCUAUAUAUCUUCUGUUGCGAACUACGCCAGCGAAAUGGCAAGCUAUACAAUAAUCACGUCGAAUCUCGUUGAGUGCAGUUAAAACGUUGACGCGCGCGACGUCAUGCACGAGAAUAGCACAUUAAUCGCAAUCAAAGAGAAAGAGAGAGAGAGAGAGAGAGAGAAAAAGAUACAACGCGCUUGUUUUAAGCGCGGCGAUUAAUCAGAUUAGUGCGCCGCUCGUAAAACCGCCGAUGAAAGAUUCAACGGUGCACGUUCAGGGACGAGAGAAGUCAAGGCGUGCCGGAAAAACCUUCUCCUUCGAUCGCGUAACACCGACCUUUUUAUUCAUGCGGCGUAAUCGUAUCGCCGCAAAAUCACGUCGUUUCGACAACACGCGACGAAGUACGUUUCAACGAUCGUGUCAGCUUCGUGUUAGUCGGUCGCUAAAACCCGUUGGCGCCAGAGAUACAUGAAACUUUUUUCGCAACGUUUUUUCUCUGCAAAAAUCGUUUAUCGAUCUGUCG
Wasmannia auropunctata (little fire ant) is the source of this 1125-nucleotide long non-coding RNA. RefSeq lists it as uncharacterized. The transcript is spliced from 2 exons. Lineage: Eukaryota; Metazoa; Arthropoda; Insecta; Hymenoptera; Formicidae. The record is from RefSeq and is a predicted model, not a curated record.